This 301-nucleotide ribosomal RNA is filed under the name uncultured bacterium. RNAcentral's name for it is "partial 16S ribosomal RNA". It matches the Rfam family "Bacterial small subunit ribosomal RNA", at positions 509 to 809 of the family's 1533-position model. The record is from RNAcentral.
CAGCCGCCGCGGGAAAACGGAGGGUGCAAGCGUUAAUCGGAAUUACUGGGCGUAAAGCGCACGCAGGCGGUCUGUCAAGUCGGAUGUGAAAUCCCCGGGCUCAACCUGGGAACUGCAUUCGAAACUGGCAGGCUAGAGUCUUGUAGAGGGGGGUAGAAUUCCAGGUGUAGCGGUGAAAUGCGUAGAGAUCUGGAGGAAUACCGGUGGCGAAGGCGGCCCCCUGGACAAAGACUGACGCUCAGGUGCGAAAGCGUGGGGAGCAAACAGGAUUAGAUACCCCGGUAGUCCCUGUCUCUUAUAA